UUGUGCAACCAAUUUCAGUUUUCCACAACAGGGGAACCUUAUAUAAACUAAUACCCAUAUCUUUGCACAUGCACAAGCUUUGAGAAUCAUGGUUACCAUAAAAAACAUUGCUGUUCGUUUGGCUCUGUUUUUCUUGGUGUUUGUUGCCCUCUUCGCUCCCCAUGAAUGCAAAAAAUGUGAAAAGAUUCUGAGACAUAAUGGAUUCUGCAUGCUUCAGGCUUGUGACUAUUGGUGCAAGAUAGAACAUCGUGACCAAAGUGCUCGUGGAUAUUGCAUCACGAAGCCUAGAAGAAAUUGCAUGUGUAGUUUCCCCUGCCCUUAUUAAUUUUGAUUAUUCCCAGGGGGGUUACCUGCUGUAUUGUUUUCGUAUAGGAGUAAAAAAAGUCAAAAUGGAACCUCCUUGCGUUACUGAUAUGAAUGCGAUAAUGCAUUUCAUCGUAUAAAGCGAGGGUAUUGGAGACCAUGGAUGAAUAAGAAUUCGUGAUGGUAAAUUGAUUUUUGAA
Carya illinoinensis is the source of this 503-nucleotide long non-coding RNA. RefSeq lists it as uncharacterized. Lineage: Eukaryota; Viridiplantae; Streptophyta; Magnoliopsida; Fagales; Juglandaceae. The record is from RefSeq and is a predicted model, not a curated record. The transcript has 2 exons.